RNAcentral lists this unclassified non-coding RNA (2216 nucleotides) under Harpegnathos saltator (Jerdon's jumping ant). RNAcentral's name for it is "uncharacterized LOC105189669, transcript variant X1". Lineage: Eukaryota; Metazoa; Arthropoda; Insecta; Hymenoptera; Formicidae. The record is from RNAcentral.
UAAUUUGAUGAGCCCGCGCUCCACCAUUCACGCCGCCGAUCAACGCUAAACAUUCGAGUUCGAGCGCAAUUUUGUUUACGCAAACCAACCCGGACCGGUCCUUUAGUCAUUCAACAAUGUUUACUCCAGCGUACGGAGCAAUUUCGUUUCAUCCCUCGCUUUAACUGUCAUUUUCAAAUCAUGAUAACACACGAAUGUGAGAACGUUCUCCCUCGCAAAAGGAAACACGCAUGUCUCUCCAUCUUGCUCCGUCUCCUUCUCUCGUUUGCGAUAUGCGCGGUCUCAAUGCGGAAGUAGCGCCACCACGUGUCGACGAUGCGCAAUUGACCUUCACGCUCGAACUGUUCCCCGCGUGGUGCAUAUAGGUUAGAAGAGUACAGCGGAAAGGAAGAGGGGAUGACAUACGCGGCAUGUGCGCAGAGCACGUUUUUACAAAAUGGUGCCAAAGUCGAAUCUAUCGUCGCCGGCAUUCCGCGACGGAUAACGAGAGAUUGUGGACGCACGCGCGCGUUAUACUUGGGUUUAGUUAGGUUAGGUUAGGUUAGGUUGGAUUAGGGCGGUGCGUUCAGCUUUUUUAUUACGAUCGAUGUCGCAGACGACGACGUGGAGAGUGGACCGAAGUUUUAUCUAUGUGACACUUACGACCACGCGGCUCUCUCACUUUCUCUCGAUUCAUGUGUGACUUGUGAAUGAUUCGAGAAUGUGGAGAGCAAUAGAGAUACCGAGUUCUGUUUGUAUUUUUUGCGAGUGGACUUGAGAUGAUCGUGCGGCUCAUCGAAUAAAGGAAGACAAUCGAAGUGUACAUUUCAAACAAAGGCUCACGACUCGAGUAGAUUGUUAUAAUCACUUUGCAGCACUUUGUUUUUAUAUACGUGUACGUAUGAUCGUAAGUAGAAGAGUCGAGUGUGUGUUGAAUUUUUUGUGAGUAAUCUUUAAUUCCGCCUGUAGAAUCGCAUCUUGACAAUCGAACCCUCUUCAAGGUACACAUGACGCAAUUGUCACGGUGUUUACGCGAAAAUCAGCGGAAUAUGAGUGGAAUUGUAGGGCGAGUCGGGUACAGAAUUGAAAACACGUUCGCGAUGACUCACUGCCGCUCACUUCACUUCGUUCUAUCGCGUCUUUCAGUCGGCAGAACGUAGUGUGACUUGGGCUAAAACGAUAAGCGGACUUUCGGAGCUCUCGUCUAUCUUUCGCACUAAAAUAAAUCCUCGCGCAGUUUCAGAUUCACAAUUCUCUCGUCGAUCCAAAAAUAGACGAAGCGAGGUGAGGUAGCAGAUAGCUUCAUCUUGCGAAACUGAAGCUGUCAAUCGUCGACGCCAGUUGAUUCCCAGACAGCACAUGAUCUCCUGGGGACGUCCUAUGGACGUCCUGAGGAUGAAGAAACAUCCCCAAGACAUCCUUAAGACGUACUCUAGACGUCCUCUGUGUUAUUAGGAUUAACUCAGUUAACUGCACGCAACAUCGAAAAAUAUAGGUUAUAAUGAAUGUAUUGCGAUCAAAUGUUAUCAGUGUAGUAGUAAAAAGGAUCAGGAUUGCACGCUUAACAAAGUACAUUUUAAAUACCUGAAACUGUGUCCAUCGAGUCAUCUUUAUUGUCGUAAAGCCGUUUACGUGUAUUAUUUUAUGGAUUCGCAUAACGGCCUAACAAUGCGCGAAUGCGCGAAAUCGCGUAACAGCCAAAAAGAGUGUUAUCGGGGACGCUACAGUCGAGAUAGUUAUCAACUUAUCUGCGAAUGCGUAGGCUACGGAUGCAAUCGAUCACAUAGAUGUUCAUCCAGCUUCGCUGUCUACUUUCUGUGUACGCUUUCCGUGAUGGUUGAUUACUAUAUUACCAGGCGAUGCGAUUGAAAUCGAUCAGCCACUGAAGGGAGCGACCAUAAGUUUCGUAAGUUUCGUAAACGUUCUAAACAACCAUGUUUGACUUGCUAUUGUAUGUGUGUGUGUGUGUGUGAUAUGAAGUACAUCAUCUUUCCUCAUAUAUGCAUACGUAUUUUAUAGAAUUAUCUUAUAAUGUGGAUAAUAUGCAUGUCAAUUUAAAAUUAUAAUUUUCCUAUAUUAUAUGUUCUGUAAAAAGAUACAUGGUAAGAUAUGUGCAAAUAUGUUAACGCGUGAAUUGUUGAAUCUGUCAUAAAAAUAGAGAUAAAAUAAGUAUAUGUGCAAAAAAAACAAAUGUAUUAAGAACAUAUUCAUUUGCACAUGUGUGUCUUUCAUGUUAU